UCAAACCUCUUCUACAUAUGCUUCAAGCACUGAGAAUAUUUCGCGUCUUCUUGAAGGUUGGAUGAGAUCAUCACCAAAGACUAACAGUGAUAACAGUCCUGUAAUUUUCAAAGAAAAAUGGAAUCAGAAUAACAGCUUUGAUAACAAUGAUAGUAUUGGUAGUACUUCAGCUGCUACAAAUUCUCUUCAAGGUGGUUAUAGACCGAAAGCUGAACAAGAAGGUGGUGAUUUGAUCUCUCAUGAAGAGUUUGAAUCGAUUUUAUCAUUUGAGAACAUGAACAAUGUUGCAUGGGACAAAUCUACUUGUGAUUCUACUUCAAAGGGUACAUGUCAAGACACUGGAAGUGAUGACAAGGUCAAUAUCACAGUGACCACUCCGGAGAGGAAGCAAAAAGCUGAUCAGAACAAUAACAAUAACAAUAACAAUCCUCCUUUAUCAUUUCUUGAAAAGUGGCUUCUGGAUGAGAGUUCAGCCGUAGGUCAAGUAGAAGAGAUGAAUCAGAUGAUGGAACUGUCUUCAAUUUUCUAAGAUUUUUCUUCUUCUUCUUCUUCUUCUUUGUUCCUCUCCCUACGUUCAUUUCAUUUUAAGCUUUAUUGGGAAAAAGGAAAACCAAAAAAGAACAAAAAAGAAAGGUUUGAGUUAUUUCUGAAAAAGGUUGGGAUCUAAUUAGUCUUAACAAAAUGUAAUUACCCUUGGUGUUUCUUUCUAACUCUCAAGGUAGCAUUUCUCUUUGUUUUUAUAUGAAUUAAUCUUUUAGUAUGAGUAAAAUUAAUUAAUCAGAAGAUUGAUAAUCUUUCUCUCAGCAAUCCAAUGUCUCCUAUUUCUCCAUGUGCAUGGAUGAAAAUUAACAAGCUGGUUUCAAAUUCAUCAUGAAAAAAUUUCAAUUGGAAAAUGGAAAUAUUGUCCCAAAAUGAUCAAUCUUUAUCUUCUUACCUUUUUUUUUUUUUGGGUUAUUCAAUUCAUUGAAAUGCAUAGGAAAUGGAUAUAUAGCUAGGCUUAGAUGGGUAUCCAAAUUUAUAGGACAUGCAUUUUGGACAAUUAAUUAUCUAUUCUUUGAUAUUAACACCACAAACCUUUACGCUAAGCAUUUCUUUGUACUUUGUAGUAAAUAAAUGGCAUAGUCUCCAUAAUUGAAAGAAAAACUAGAAACCUAGAAAAGCGACUACAGGCUUAAAUACAUUCCUACUUUUGCUGCAAGUUAUAGUGGAUUUUAUAGCAGC
Molecule: long non-coding RNA, 1221 nt
Filed under: Durio zibethinus
Lineage: Eukaryota; Viridiplantae; Streptophyta; Magnoliopsida; Malvales; Malvaceae
Description: long non-coding RNA (DZIB_LNC001413)
Source: RNAcentral